CCUGAUCAUCAGCAGCUUCUGCUUCUUUCCAUCCGAGCAGCCAUCUUGACUGCAGUCUGGACCUGCUGGUCCAGAACCGAACUUUGAUGUUAAACUCAAAACAACCGAACCAAGCCGAACCAACACGAACCAAGCCGAACCAACACGAACCUCGGUGUUUCUGUCAGUCUGCCCCCCUCCCCUCCCCCCUCAGCCACAGGAAGACCCAUCCGGUUCCGUCCAGCAGGGGGCGAUGAGCCGAGCCGUAAGAACCACAAAGUUUCAGCUCAAACCAGAACAAGGAGGCCGAUGAUGCAGGGUCAGUUUCCUCAAUCUCAGAUUUAACCUGAGAUUCUUCUCUGUUGACCUGAGAAGCCAGGGAUGUCCAAAGUGUGGCCCAGGGGCCAUAUGGGGACGUCUGGAUGACUUUGUCUGGCCCUCCAGUUGAACUCAUCCCUUCAGCUCUGGCAGGUCGAACCAAAACAUCUGUGGGUCAAACUGAAAGAAGCAGCAGCAGCAGCCGUGACUCAGACGUCUUGGUUCUGGUUAAAUCUCCCCUCAGAUCCGGUUUCCUCCCGGGGAACCGAGUUCCUCAAAAGCUCCGAGUCCCACAGGAAGCAUCGCUGCCGCGCCGGCCUGUCCGGAGCAGGAACGCUGCAGGAUGCCCGCUCUGAUGCCCGCUCUGAUGCCCGCUCUGAUGCCCGCUCUGAUGCCACACGCUGCACGGCAGGAAAACCUCAGGCCAAACCUGGAAUCAUCUCAACUGAACAGCAGCAGAGAGGAGGAAGUGAAAACAAGAACUGCCUUCAUCUUGACUUUAUCAGAACUCAGUAAAAGUGUCAGAGAGCCGCUGCGUUCUGGUGGUUCGGUGUGAAAGCGGCGCUGCUGCUGCAGGGAGACAAACAGGAGCAGCUCAAAAUGUCUGACAGAGCUGGAAACACCCAGAUCCUUCAUCAGCAGCAGGCCGAACCAGCCCGAGACAGGCGGAGAGGCUCUUCCUGCUCGGCUGCAGCCGCCCGCAGGGGAGGAGGGGUGUGAUGGGAGGAGAGCUGCCUGCGCUCCCUCCAGCAGGGGAUGAUGGGAGGAGAGGAGGAGGGGUCUGUAUCUGGAGAUGGAGGGCUGUCAGGAAUGUGGAAGAGCAAGCAGACAUGCAGCGAGCGAGGAGCCGAGCCGCUCGCACUAAAUUUAACAAUGAGAGUCGGCAGGACGUUUAAAUUUAGUCUGCAGCUUCACCGAGUCGGAGCGGCUGCUGCUGCUCACCCGGCAGAAACAUCCUCAUCCUGCGGUGGUCCGAACGGGUCAGGUUCUCCUUCCACAAACCACCGAGGAGCCCAGAUCCUCUGGGCCUGCUGAACAAAGGAAACCUUUCUGAGCUUUACGGUCAACAGUUCUUUCAUGAUGUGGUGAAGAAAUGAAGCAAACUUCAUCCAAAGCGGGUGGAGAAAACACAAAAAGCCAGAAAACAAGAAGCAGAAAUGAUCUGAAAUCCUGAGAACUGAACCGAAUCUAGAGAUCCAAACUCUGCAGAAACGUUUUCAGGGCAAGAAUCAGGAAGUUAUCAUCACAGUUUGGAUGUUUUCUGUUUCAUCCACUUUAUUUUAGCCAUAAAAAGAUGUGCAGAUACAAAGACUGAACAAACAAAUGAGAGGAAAAUCUGAAGAAAGGACAAAAUAAAAGAAAGAGAUGAGGAUAAAAAUGUGAAUAAACUGACUUUAUUCUCAUCCAAAAAACAAAUUCAGCCUCAGUUUGUUAGAAAACAUCAGAAUCAUUUAGAGAAAGAAAGAAAAGAACAAACUAGAGAUAAAAUCCUGGAUUACACUGUAUGCAGAUGAUACAGUGAUCUACACUGAGAUUAGAGGAUGGAUGGAUGGAUGGAUGGAUGGA
This is a long non-coding RNA of Poeciliopsis prolifica (blackstripe livebearer), 1863 nucleotides long. RefSeq lists it as uncharacterized. The record is from RefSeq and is a predicted model, not a curated record. The transcript is spliced from 4 exons. Lineage: Eukaryota; Metazoa; Chordata; Actinopteri; Cyprinodontiformes; Poeciliidae.